UUCUCCCCGCAGGGGCGGCGGCCUUGAGAGGCUGCAGAGGCACCCUCCCACGUCCCGCACAGUGCAGUGCCUCCGCAGUCCAGAGGGGAGCUGUGCGCUCGGCUCCGAGCCGGACGGGUUUCGUAAUCGCGUCGCCGCCGCUUCCGCCCUCAGCCGGCCCCACCUCUGCCGGCUCGUCCUCGGCUCCCCCGCCUCGCCGCAGAGCUGGCCCAGGAAGCCCACAUUGGCGGCCACGGAGCAGGGUCCCUUACCCCCACCAGCUGUAGCUGAACGUCUGGAUGGUGGAGAAGAGCAGAUGAUCUGUACUGGACACACGUGGAGAUAUGGCCAUGCCACGCAUGUGCAAACAGAGGUGUACACACAGGAGUGCAGUGAUACAGGACACAGAUAAACAGAAUGUAUACAGCCUUCAGGAAGGAUCUCAAGGGUUCUGAGUCUGAGGAAGACAUAACCUUGUGCCUGCCUGCCCACCUCUCUCUCUGGUCCUGUUCAUCUCUCAGGCUCUGAGACACUGACCUUCACUGCUCAGUUAAAGGUUCCAGGGAUUCCACUUUCUCUGGACCCAUCCAGCUGAGUACACCCAGGGUGGUGUUGUAUCCGGGGAGAGUGAGGAGUGGGUUGUCCAAACACCAGGGAAAGAGCCCUUUGGGGCCUCAGACAGAGGAGUGAAGCUGGAACCAUCAGGGAACAUGAGUGAAUUUUGGCACAAACUGGGCUGCUGUGUGGUAGAGAAACCCCAGCCGGUGAGUCUCCCCACCCCCAUCCUAACCCAAAGAGCAGUCAGUUACUGUGUGCUGUGAGGUAGCCACACCAUCUAGGAUCUGCCAUCUAAAAA
RNAcentral lists this small RNA (835 nucleotides) under Pongo abelii (Sumatran orangutan). Its description in RNAcentral is "processed transcript". Lineage: Eukaryota; Metazoa; Chordata; Mammalia; Primates; Hominidae. The record is from RNAcentral.